AUCGUAAUUCCCCUUCACCUUCUUUGGUCGCAUUAGGGUUUGGCCAUGGCUCGUGGUCCCGGCUCAAGAACCACUACAGGAUUAAUGGGUGCCUAAUGAAUCUGAAUCUGAAUAUGAGCAUUGUCCUGACCUGCAAUUCCACUUGGUGGUGUAUAUGAGUUAAGAGGCAGAUGACAUCAUGUCAUGAAUGAUCCUAAAUGGCCCAAUGACAACCUUGAAGCUGAGUAUAGAAUUUUUUUGAGUUGUCGCUUGCUUUUCGUUGCCGACUGGCUGGAAAUAGUAUGUUCCUUUCUUUUUUAAAAGCUC
Helianthus annuus (common sunflower) is the source of this 306-nucleotide long non-coding RNA. RefSeq lists it as uncharacterized. The record is from RefSeq and is a predicted model, not a curated record. The transcript is spliced from 3 exons. NCBI's taxonomy places the organism in Eukaryota, Viridiplantae, Streptophyta, Magnoliopsida, Asterales, Asteraceae.